CACCGCCGUUCGCUGCUACCGAUUGAAUGAUUUCGUGAGGUCUUCGGACUAGCUCUCGAAGCGGCUUUCGGGUCGGGUCGGCGGACCGGACAGAUGACCAAACUUGAUCAUUUAGAGAAAGUAAAAGUCGUAACUAGGGUUUCGUAGGCGAAUCUGGGGAAA
Molecule: non-coding RNA, 162 nt
Filed under: Stegodyphus mimosarum
Lineage: Eukaryota; Metazoa; Arthropoda; Arachnida; Araneae; Eresidae
Description: eukaryotic small subunit ribosomal RNA
Rfam family: Eukaryotic small subunit ribosomal RNA
Source: Rfam by way of RNAcentral